This 72-nucleotide transfer RNA is filed under the name Camelus bactrianus (Bactrian camel). It matches the Rfam family "tRNA". From Rfam's summary of the family: Transfer RNA (tRNA) molecules are approximately 80 nucleotides in length. Their secondary structure includes four short double-helical elements and three loops (D, anti-codon, and T loops). The record is from Rfam by way of RNAcentral. Lineage: Eukaryota; Metazoa; Chordata; Mammalia; Artiodactyla; Camelidae. RNAcentral also lists the same sequence under 3 other names.
GGGUGUAUAGCUCAGUGACAGAGCGCGUGCUUAGCAAGCAUGAGGUCCUAGGUUCAGUCCCCAGUACCUCCA